Molecule: long non-coding RNA, 329 nt
Organism: Diceros bicornis minor
Lineage: Eukaryota; Metazoa; Chordata; Mammalia; Perissodactyla; Rhinocerotidae
Exons: 3
Source: RefSeq, a predicted model, not a curated record
AGGGUGAGGGUGGUGGAGCGCUGGAUCCAGGUGGCCCAGGAGUUCGAGAUCCUGAAGAACUUCUCCUCGUCCUGCACUGUCAUCUCUGCUCUGCAGGAAACCUCCACAAGCCACCUGAAGAACACACGGGGGAAGUUUCCCGAGAGAACCCUGAAAAUCUUAAGGAACUCAAUAGUCAAGACAAGUCCUUGAACAGAGAACUGAUGAUCAAGGUAGAGUGGAGGCUGGGGUUCUGGAAAGAGAGGAGGGGUGCGGAGGAGGGGCACUGGGCAGGCUGUGGUUUUGAUAGUUUCUCACUUGAACUUUCUCUGAAACAUUCCCAUCUAUUU